CUCGGCGUUCGGGCCAAAGGGGACCCUGUCCGCCUGUCCCCCCUCGCAGGGGACAUCUCGGGGGCGCUAGGACCGAGGAUGGGUGGCUUCCGACGGGAGAGGACGAGUCGGCUGCUGAAAGACCCUGCGGGUCGAUAUCGCUGGCGUCCCCGAUCCUGGACUGACGUCAGGGCGGAGAUGCAAGGCCCUGACGGCAGAGCCUCUGGUCCGCGCUUGGGGCUGCCUACACGCACUGUGAGGUGACGUCACCCACUGACCGCACCGGCACGUCCUAAUCAGCUUCAGAGGACAUCUGGGAGGGUUCUGGGAUUCUGAACCAGCAGAGGACACAGAGCAGGCCUGACUUUAGAGGAACUGGCCUAACUCUGCCUGCUUACAUCAGUGAAGCAGAUCAAAGAUGCUGCUCUGGCUAAUUCUACAGGGACCUAGGACUUGCACUUCCUGGAUCAUCACUUGAGGAUUUUCAUCUCAUUUCACCGCCUGGACACCACAGCGGCGGGGAAACAACAGUGUCAUGGCUUCCAUACUGGCUGUGGCUGCCCGUGGAGAGGUUUGGAGCUGCCGUUACCGUGCAGCCGCGUUCCCACACAGCCCCGCUUAGCCUGUGCGCAGCUGCGGGAUUCUCGCUGUCUUCUGCAGGGUCUCCGGCCCCUUCACCUGACCGAGCCCCACAGGAGACACAGCCAAGGACCCCGCGCCAGUAGCAGUGGGUGAGAUCUCCAAUGUUGGGGGUGGCCGUAACAAGGAGAAAACUGUGACGUUAUUUUGCCUCGAGUUCUUUGUUUGGGUGAGGGAUGAUUUGGGGGCAGGAGGGGGUAGAGGUGAAAGCCUCUUUAUUUUGGGAUUGCCACGGGCAGACAGUGCCAUACGGCUUCACCAAGCUUAGGUGUGUUUGGUAGGGUGACUGUGGUCACUACGUAAGUGCUUGUCAGCCCGGUCUGCCUGGGUGCCAGGUGCUGUGUGUGGUCCAAAGAGCCCCACUCCUCUCUCUCCCCGUGGUCUGCUGUCCUGAGGGAGAGGCCUGUCGUUGCCCAGCUGGAGGAGAGGAAAAGCCGCUGGGGACUUGCAGAGGCUCCUCGCCCUGGGCACUGCGGAAGGAUGCGGAGGGCUGGAGGCUGGGAGAUGUGAGGGGCAGGGAGGAGGUGAGCGGCGGGUGGAGGUGUCCGCCCCAGCACCCGGCCGGGGCCUGAGCGAGCUCAGGCAGAGCAGGGAAGGUCUCGGGGGCCUCUCGCUCUGCAGGCGUUCCCCCGCGGCACCCCCAGCUCGCGAGCGGGCUUACGAAGCGGCGAGGAAUGCAACCGCCGCGCCGGGUAACCAAAGGCAGAUGGGGAGAGGAGGGAGGAACGUGUCGGGGUCGGCUGGGCUGCUCCCUUCACCGCCGUGGUCAGAGCCCUCGGAGGCUGAGGCUUGGGGUGCCGGGACGCAGCCCCCGUGCCUCCCUGCCUCCCCCGGGACAGCAGAGCAGAUCGCAGGGCGCGGGUGCCGCCGGGGGACAGUGGCUUGUCACCCACCGCCCAUCACCCCCGGGCACGUCCCGCUGCAGCUCGGCGUCAGAGCAGAGGGGAGGGGGGAGAGGCGGGGGUCGCCCCCGCGUAGGGCAUGGAUCCAGGCCACCCCACGGGGCGAACUCAACCGGAGAGGCAGGGGCUUUCGGCUGCAGCCUGUGCGGAAGGGUUAAUGCCUGAGGAAGGGGCCAAGCCACGCUGUCGCAGCGCGUUAACCCUUUGCAGGCAGCGCCAGCCGGCAGAAAUGGCCCGUGGACACGGGAGCGUGGCAGGAUGUGGAGCUCCAUCCCCGACCCCUUCUUAUGCCUUCGGCUGUCCAGACACUAAUUAGUGCCCUCCUGAAGAGGAGCAAAUCGCAGAGUAAUCCCGCAUUGGUAGGUAGCUCAUCAUAGCGAGAUUCCCUGUAGAUACAUUAGGCAGGGAAAUCUAUUACUCUCUAAUUAAAUGGAGACAAAAAUGAUUGUUCUUUUUCUAUCCCUUAUAUGUUUCAAAGCAUAAAACUCAAUUAAAGUGUAUCCGCAGAAGGGGAUUUGUCUACAGUGGGGCUUCUUCAUUUUGCACAUGCUUUUAAAAGCUGAGCAAACACCUGGGCCACCGUGAUGGUGCCUCCAAUUCCUUGGGUUUUGGG
This is a long non-coding RNA of Dromaius novaehollandiae (emu), 2133 nucleotides long. RefSeq lists it as uncharacterized. NCBI's taxonomy places the organism in Eukaryota, Metazoa, Chordata, Aves, Casuariiformes, Dromaiidae. The record is from RefSeq and is a predicted model, not a curated record. The transcript is spliced from 2 exons.